Molecule: long non-coding RNA, 1380 nt
Organism: Peromyscus eremicus (cactus mouse)
Lineage: Eukaryota; Metazoa; Chordata; Mammalia; Rodentia; Cricetidae
Exons: 5
Source: RefSeq, a predicted model, not a curated record
ACAAAAAGAACACCACCUACAAUACUCAGUCUAUAAAUGUGGUGACCCGACAGGGAAAGGGGGGAUGUAAAGAGCACAGAGAUGAUGCCAGGAAGAACAGUAAAUCAGGAAGGGGGGAUGAGUAGGGCCAGGGCUUCAGACAGAGUGGAGGUAAAGACCUGAGCAGAGAGGCAGUCAGGACCAGAGAUCUAACCAGGGCCUCUCUCAGGCUCAGAAGGUGAGUUCUACCACUGACCCACACUCCCAGCAUCCACUGGAACAUUGGAGACGAGGAAACAAGUUAUGUCGGGGAAGGAACCAUCAGCAGAACAGCCGACCUCAAAGUCCUCAGCCAAUAGCGUCUUCCCCUAAAGGAAAAGCAACGUUCACGUGGCCAACCUGGAGUUGGAGGGAAUGAAGUUAGGCCGAUGAGAAGGGAAGGUCCUAUGGGACCCCUCGGGCAGUAAGAUGACAGUGCCAGAGUCUAAGGUUGCUUCUGACAGACCCUAAUUUACAUUUUGACAGGAUUCCCCUCUUCCCUUCUUGUAUGUUUGCCACUUGCCCUGUUCUCCUCUCUCCAUCUCAAGCCCUCUGCUUACUCGUGAUUCCCUUGCAAACAUCAGCUGGCAUGUGGCUUUUGGUUUGGUGUUAUAGCAAGUGUUGACAUUUCGGCCCAUGCGCCUACUGUGAUCUAAUCGCUUAGCCAUCCAGUGUUCUAAUUCCAGAUUCCUGGGUGACAUAAUGUUAGCCUCACAUAUGAGUAGGCUGGGUAAUAUUAGUCCACUGCGGUAUCAUAAACUGAGGUCAGACUCAGAAGUAAGCUGAAACUGCAGCAUUUCCCAGAGUGAGCAUGGGCAGAUAAUGAGUAGCACGUCUGCUUCAGCAGACGCCUCGGCAUCUUUCUCCAUAAUACAGGAUAGUCAACAACUCCAGCAGAGACAGGUUACCUGUAGCCCUUCUGCACUGUCAUGCUCAAUAGACGCGCAUGUGUGAUACAGAGACACACAUCUAAACUCAGAGCUUUCUCAUUGGAAACUUGCAAGCUGGUAGAGUGAAUUGGUACUACAGGAAAGCAGAAUAAGCAGGCCAGGGGGGAACACAGUAAGUAGCACUCCUCUCCGGCCUCUACAUCAGUUCCUGCCUCCAAGUUCAGGCCUUGAGUUCCUGCCCUGACUUCCUUCAGUGAUGGACCGUGAUGUGAAAAUCUGGAAAAGAUUUACAACGUACACGUGCUCCGUCCGGGCCUCCCCUCACACUAUCGGCUAUCCCUAAAGAGGAUAUGCUGUUUAACCUACAGGAGGCUGAGGCAGGAGGAUUGCCGUGAGUCUGAGGCCAGGUUGGACUACAGUACAAGACCCUGUCUUGGUAAAUGAAUAAAUAAAAUUUUUGGAGUGUGCAAAA